Molecule: ribosomal RNA, 477 nt
Filed under: uncultured bacterium
Lineage: Bacteria
Description: bacterial SSU rRNA
Rfam family: Bacterial small subunit ribosomal RNA
Source: RNAcentral
GAUGAACGCUGGCGGCGUGCUUAACACAUGCAAGUCGAACGGAAGUUUUAAAUGGAAGUUUUCGGAUGGAAAUUUAAAACUUUAGUGGCGGACGGGUGAGUAACGCGUGGGUAACCUGCCGUAUACAGGGGGAUAACACUUAGAAAUAGGUGCUAAUACCGCAUAAGCGCACAGUAUCGCAUGAUACAGUGUGAAAAGCCUUGACGGUAUACGAUGGACCCGCGUCUGAUUAGCUAGUUGGUGAGGUAGAGGCUCACCAAGGCGACGAUCAGUAGCCGGCCUGAGAGGGUGACCGGCCACAUUGGGACUGAGACACGGCCCAAACUCCUACGGGAGGCAGCAGUGGGGAAUAUUGCACAAUGGGGGAAACCCUGAUGCAGCGACGCCGCGUGAGUGAAGAAGUAUUCGGUAUGUAAAGCUCUAUCAGCAGGGAAGAAAAUGACGGUACCUGACUAAGAAGCCCCGGCUAACUACGUG